This 253-nucleotide ribosomal RNA is filed under the name uncultured bacterium. Its description in RNAcentral is "partial 16S ribosomal RNA". It matches the Rfam family "Bacterial small subunit ribosomal RNA", at positions 524 to 776 of the family's 1533-position model. The record is from RNAcentral.
UACGUAGGUGGCAAGCGUUAUCCGGAAUUAUUGGGCGUAAAGCGCGCGUAGGCGGUUUCUUAAGUCUGAUGUGAAAGCCCACGGCUCAACCGUGGAGGGUCAUUGGAAACUGGGAAACUUGAGUGCAGAAGAGGAAAGUGGAAUUCCAUGUGUAGCGGUGAAAUGCGCAGGGAUAUGGAGGAACACCAGUGGCGAAGGCGACUUUCUGGUCUGUAACUGACGCUGAUGUGCGAAAGCGUGGGGAUCAAACAGG